UCGCGGCCUAUCAGCUUGUUGGUGAGGUAAUGGCCCACCAAGGCGUCGACGGGUAGCCGGCCUGAGAGGGUGACCGGCCACACUGGGACUGAGACACGGCCCAGACUCCUACGGGGGGCAGCAGUGGGGAAUAUUGCACAAUGGGCGCAAGCCUGAUGCAGCAACGCCGCGUGAGGGAUGACGGCCUUCGGGUUGUAAACCUCUUUUAGCAGGGAAGAAGCGAAAGUGACGGUACCUGCAGAAAAAGCGCCGGCUAACUACGUGCCAGCAGCCGCGGUAAUACGUAGGGCGCAAGCGUUAUCCGGAAUUAUUGGGCGUAAAGAGCUCGUAGGCGGUUUGUCGCGUCUGCUGUGAAAUCCCGAGGCUCAACCUCGGGCCUGCAGUGGGUACGGGCAGACUAGAGUGCGGUAGGGGAGAUUGGAAUUCCUGGUGUAGCGGUGGAAUGCGCAGAUAUCAGGAGGAACACCGAUGGCGAAGGCAGAUCUCUGGGCCGUAACUGACGCUGAGGAGCGAAAGGGUGGGGAGCAAACAGGCUUAGAUACCCUGGUAGUCCACCCCGUAAACGUUGGGAACUAGUUGUGGGGUCCUUUCCACGGAUUCCGUGACGCAGCUAACGCAUUAAGUUCCCCGCCUGGGGAGUACGGCCGCAAGGCUAAAACUCAAAGGAAUUGACGGGGACCCGCACAAGCGGCGGAGCAUGCGGAUUAAUUCGAUGCAACGCGAAGAACCUUACCAAGGCUUGACAUACACGAGAACGGGCCAGAAAUGGUCAACUCUUUGGACACUCGUGAACAGGUGGUGCAUGGUUGUCGUCAGCUCGUGUCGUGAGAUGUUGGGUUAAGUCCCGCAACGAGCGCAACCCUCGUUCUAUGUUGCCAGCACGUUAUGGUGGGAACUCAUGGGAUACUGCCGGGGUCAACUCGGAGGAAGGUGGGGAUGACGUCAAAUCAUCAUGCCCCUUAUGUCUUGGGCUUCACGCAUGCUACAAUGGCCGGUACAAAGGGCUGCAAUACCGUGAGGUGGAGCGAAUCCCAAAAAGCCGGUCCCAGUUCGGAUUGAGGUCUGCAACUCGACCUCAUGAAGUCGGAGUCGCUAGUAAUCGCAGAUCAGCAACGCUGCGGUGAAUACGUUCCCGGGUCUUGUACACACCGCCCGUCAAGUCAUGAAAGUCGGUAACACCUGAAGCCGGUGGCCUAACCCUUGUGGAGGGAGCCGUCGAAGGUGGGGCUGGA
This 1232-nucleotide ribosomal RNA is filed under the name uncultured Actinomycetes bacterium. RNAcentral describes it as "bacterial SSU rRNA". It matches the Rfam family "Bacterial small subunit ribosomal RNA", at positions 231 to 1472 of the family's 1533-position model. Lineage: Bacteria; Bacillati; Actinomycetota; Actinomycetes. The record is from RNAcentral.